This 497-nucleotide ribosomal RNA is filed under the name uncultured bacterium. RNAcentral's name for it is "partial 16S ribosomal RNA". It matches the Rfam family "Bacterial small subunit ribosomal RNA", at positions 28 to 507 of the family's 1533-position model. The record is from RNAcentral.
GAUGAACGCUGGCGGCGUGUCUAAUACAUGCAAGUCGAGCGAACAGACGAGGAGCUUGCUCCUUUGACGUUAGCGGCGGACGGGUGAGUAACACGUGGGUAACCUACCUAUAAGACUGGGAUAACUUCGGGAAACCGGAGCUAAUACCGGAUAAUAUUUCGAACCGCAUGGUUCGAUAGUGAAAGAUGGCUUUGCUAUCACUUAUAGAUGGACCUGCGCCGUAUUAGCUAGUUGGUAAGGUAACGGCUUACCAAGGCAACGAUACGUAGCCGACCUGAGAGGGUGAUCGGCCACACUGGAACUGAGACACGGUCCAGACUCCUACGGGAGGCAGCAGUAGGGAAUCUUCCGCAAUGGGCGAAAGCCUGACGGAGCAACGCCGCGUGAGUGAUGAAGGUCUUCGGAUCGUAAAACUCUGUUAUUAGGGAAGAACAAACGUGUAAGUAACUGUGCACGUCUUGACGGUACCUAAUCAGAAAGCCACGGCUAACUACGUG